AUGGAGCUGUGUUGGGGAGGUUCAGGUGGGUGUGAGGAAAAGGGUCUGCCCCAGAGCACAGUGUGCAUGGCUCUGAGCUGCUGGAGUUCAGGGAGCACUGGGACACUGUACUCAGACAUUGAGAUAGAAUUUUUGAGUGGUCCUGUGUUGGACUCAGUAGCCAUUGAGGGUGCCUUCAAACUUGGGAUAUUCUGCAAUCCCUCGGCCACAGUAAGAAGCUUUAUAAUGAGUGUUGGCGUGACUCACACAGGAGGACAUAAUGGCCCAGUGACAGUGAUGGGAGGUGGGAAGAUGUUGAACAUCACUGUGGUCCCACACCACUGCCCUUCUUACAUGUCCAGGUGUCUGAAGAGCCACAGCUUGUCGCUGAGAAAAGUGUGGUUAAAUGGAACUCUCAACGUUUUGUGUUGGUUUUUGUUUUGUUUUGUUUUGUUUUUAAACCCACCAGAAAACAGAAUCCAGCAUUUAUCCUGUCCAUGUCAGCAAAACUUGCAGGAGGAGGAUGGAAAGCUACUCAGAAACAUCAUCCUCCAGACACAGCAAACAGUGGAUGAGUGCUGCAAUCCAUCCAUGUGGGCUUUCAGUGUUGAGUCCUUUGUGCCAGAGCUUCCCACUGCACUUCAGACCAGGCUAUGGGAAACGUGUCUCAUGGAGGAAAACAAAACUCUGUUUCCCUUCCUGUUCCUGCUGACUCUCAGCACCAUCACACCAUGUUCUUCCUGCACAGCUGGCAUGAGAACAAUGCCAGUACAGGCCAGUGCUAAAAGACCAGAUCCAUUAAGAACUGAAAAGAACUUGGAAACUGUGGUGAUGGACACUGUAUACACAGAAAGUGGCUUCAGAUGGCUUUUGGAUGUGUUGGCCCCAUUUGUGGACAAGGAGAAAGCCCAUGAUAUAGCUAGAUACAGGAGAAGUCUCGUUUUGACAUCAAACCAAUCCUUGUCAUCCUGA
This 951-nucleotide long non-coding RNA is filed under the name Numida meleagris (helmeted guineafowl). RNAcentral describes it as "lncRNA (ENSNMEG00000018267.1)". Lineage: Eukaryota; Metazoa; Chordata; Aves; Galliformes; Numididae. The record is from RNAcentral.